RNAcentral lists this ribosomal RNA (443 nucleotides) under uncultured bacterium. Its description in RNAcentral is "partial 16S ribosomal RNA". It matches the Rfam family "Bacterial small subunit ribosomal RNA", at positions 338 to 795 of the family's 1533-position model. The record is from RNAcentral.
CCUACGGGAGGCAGCAGUGGGGAAUAUUGGGCAAUGGGCGCAAGCCUGACCCAGCAACGCCGCGUGAAGGAAGAAGGCUUUCGGGUUGUAAACUUCUUUUCUCAGGGACGAAGAAAGUGACGGUACCUGACGAAUAAGCCACGGCUAACUACGUGCCAGCAGCCGCGGUAAAACGUAGGUGGCAAGCGUGAUCCGGAUUUAUUGGGUGUAAAGGGCGUGUAGGCGGGAGCGCAAGUCAGAUGUGAAAGCCCAAGGCUUAACCAUGGGACUGCUGUGGAGACUGUGGGGCUGGAGUGCGGGAGGGGCAGGCGGAAUGCCUAGUGUAGCGGUGAAAUGCGUAGAUAUUAGGAGGAACACCGGCGGCGAAGGCGGCCUGCUGGACCGUAACUGACGUUGAGGCUCGAAAGCGUGGGGAGCAAACAGGAUUAGAUACCCCUGUAGUC